RNAcentral lists this ribosomal RNA (253 nucleotides) under uncultured bacterium. RNAcentral describes it as "partial 16S ribosomal RNA". It matches the Rfam family "Bacterial small subunit ribosomal RNA", at positions 524 to 776 of the family's 1533-position model. The record is from RNAcentral.
UACGGAGGGGGCGAGCGUUAUUCGGAAUUAUUGGGCGUAAAGGGCGCGUAGGCGGCUUGAUGUGUCAAAGGUGAAAUCCCUCGGCUCAACUGAGGAACUGCCUUUGAAACUGUCUGGCUUGAGGCCGGGAGAGGGUAGCGGAAUUCCCAGUGUAGCGGUGAAAUGCGUAGAUAUCUGGAGGAACACCGGUGGCGAAGGCGGCAUCCUGGACCGGUAUUGACGCUGAGGCGCGAAAGCCAGGGGAGCAAACGGG